This 1982-nucleotide long non-coding RNA is filed under the name Linum usitatissimum (flax). RNAcentral describes it as "long non-coding RNA (LUSI_LNC004098)". Lineage: Eukaryota; Viridiplantae; Streptophyta; Magnoliopsida; Malpighiales; Linaceae. The record is from RNAcentral.
CAACAGCAACCAGUUAAGAAUCCUAUGUAUCGCUGGGCGGAUCAAUGAGGUCGACGAAUCCAUUGGUUACUUGUAGCUUGUUGCAACGAAAUUUCUCAUCACCAGCAACGGAUCAUCUGCUCAAAAGGUACACAAAGUUGUCUGCGCUGAUACUAUUCUAUUUUUUUCCCGAAAGACGUUUGGUACUCUGUUUGGUUGCUUGGUCCCCUGAUGUGAAACCCUAAUUUUCUACGCAGAAAUUGGUUAAUUUCAGGACCAGUGUUUGUAUGUGUUUGUGCGGGGAGAAAGCUCUAAUUGUUUAAGUUCAGAAAAGAUUGAACACUUUAAUUAUUAUUAUUUUUCGCUUUAUUGGAUAUAUAUAGCUUACAGUGCCCAGGAAACGAACACAGCACACACAAGAAGCACAAAGAACAUAGAAUGUGUCUCCAAUCUGGAAGGCAUACAUAGUAUAAAAUUAUCUAUACUCAUGAUUAUGAAUAGGCCUCUCUGCUUUAUUAUCUUAUCAAACUGACUAGGAAUCCAAGCACCAACAGUAAUAAUCUGAUCUGGAUAAAGCAAGUAAGUCCUCUGGGCUCAUCCUCUCCAGCUCAUUUUGCCUCCAUGGAGCCAAAUUGUUACGGUUCUGUGGAUCAGUGGCAACUGGAUUAUCCUCUGCACCAUGUCGUUGAGAUCUCAUCCUCAUGUACAGUCUCAUAGUUGCCACACAAUCUUCAUAGGGGUCUUGGGUUCCAAUUUGAAUGUCAUACCUGCAAUAGAUAGGACUGGUGUUAAGUAAUUUACAGACUACAGUAGAUAAAAGCUUGGGCUUGAUGGUUAACUUACCCAAGAUAGGCCUGUGUUAGGUACUUGAGUGAGUUGCUAAGCUUGCUUGUUUUCAUUAAUGGAGGGUACUUUGCUGUGUCCCUGCAGUAACAUGACAUGAUUCCAUACGAUUAUUAAUCAACUUGAUGGUCAACCAAUCCCCACCUCCUAGGAGAUAGGAAUCUACUAGUGACUACUAAAAAGAUAGCUUUAUAUACGUACCUGAUCAUCACAGCUGGAUAUUCCACUUGAAGGCGGUCAAGGUCGUGGUCCAAGCCAUGACCCACGAGAAUCCUAGCUCUUCCUCCUCUUGGUCUAAUUUUCCACAUGGGUUCACCAUUGCUUAGGAAAUCUUGAAUCUUCUUUUGCACCUGUCUUAGUGGGACUGCAUCCCUCAUAUAUUCUGCCCUUAUCCCUGUGGUUUCGUACCUAUGAAGUGUUUUUUAUGCAAAGAAUAAGCAUUAAUAUUAUAAUCGGAACACUAGUAGGAAGUUGCGAUGGAAAGUCAGUAGAUGACUGCAACUAUACCUGUAAUUGGUGACUGGAAUUGGUGGUUUGACAUAGGAAUGGAAAAGAAUGUUUUCGUUUUCGUCGACGAGGCAAACCCUCCCACAGAGAUCAAGGGAGCCAUCACUGCCUCCUCCAACCAUCUUGCACGCCAGUGCAACAACUUGUGUCCCUCUGGAGUGGCCACUGUCUGUACUCAAGCUGUCGCGCAAGCCUAGAUUAGCCAUUCGAGCUAGCAGUCCCUGUUUGAAAAGGUGUUUUGCAACAUUAGAUUGAGAUAUAUAUCCUCUGUUUAUAAGGAGAAAGGAUUGACUGAUAACUUUCACAUUACCGCAUUAACAUUAGGGAACUGACAUCUAUCUUGAUGAGCCCUGCGGGCAUUUGAGCUGUCGAGAAUGGUCAGACAAAAUCUGCAUCCUCGGACGUUGAAAAUGUUCUUGCAUUCUUGCUUUGGUAAUGGUCCUGAAGAAAAACCCAUGUUUAACCUUGUCAUAAAACUUAAUGAAAUGUUUGGGUUCACUAUAGUUACUAUGCGAUGUGCAGAGAAAUAAGUACCGAUGAGAUGCUCCCUCAGGGACUCGAAGGAUCUGCAGUGCUUCUUACAGAUUCCACACUUGGGUUCAUGCACUGAGUGAAAGGAUAUCCUCAUGUGCUCCACUAGGUGUUCCUUUUUG